AUGCUAAAAUUACUCUAUGCAUGACAAUAAUUUUUGUCAUGCCAUCUGAACACCAUGAUAUCACUAUAUCAUUUUCCUUACAUCCUUGGAUCCCUCAUUUUCACGCCACUUAUAGUUCUUUCUCUAUCCUCUCUUUUACCCAUGUUAAAAACCUUAAAUUACUAUAAGUCUGUUAGUCUUUAUUCUACACGUAGUUUCAAAUGACUAACUCCUAAUAAUGUACCUCCUAAUUAGCAAAAUUAUGAUACCCCACUUGUGAUACCCCAAACCC
Molecule: long non-coding RNA, 271 nt
Filed under: Elaeis guineensis (African oil palm)
Lineage: Eukaryota; Viridiplantae; Streptophyta; Magnoliopsida; Arecales; Arecaceae
Description: long non-coding RNA (EGUI_LNC036246)
Source: RNAcentral